This 75-nucleotide transfer RNA is filed under the name Vibrio cholerae. RNAcentral's name for it is "tRNA-Gln". It matches the Rfam family "tRNA". From Rfam's summary of the family: Transfer RNA (tRNA) molecules are approximately 80 nucleotides in length. Their secondary structure includes four short double-helical elements and three loops (D, anti-codon, and T loops). The record is from RNAcentral. Lineage: Bacteria; Pseudomonadati; Pseudomonadota; Gammaproteobacteria; Vibrionales; Vibrionaceae.
AGGUCUAUCGCCAAGCGGUAAGGCAGCGGGUUUUGAUCCCGUCAUCCCAUGGUUCGAAUCCAUGUAGACCUGCCA